CCAACCCAUCCACAUUUCUAAAGCACUUCAGAAGUGUUCUUUUUUUGUUAAUCGGCGUUCAAAUUUUUAUUAUUAUUAUCAUCAUAAUUAGAAAUCUGGACUACUUCCUCCUCACAAUUUCUUCACCUUCCUAAGGCUAAUUGGGUAAAAACUUGGGUAGUCUCGCCAAGACAUCUUAAAGAUUCACAGGAAAAUGAAUUUGAUGGGAGGGAUUGAUCUCAAGAAGAUUGCUGAGAAAAUGAAUGGUGCCUCUGGUGCAGAAUUUAAGGCUGUUUGCACUGGAGCAGGGAUGUUUGCUUUGAGAGAGAGAGGGUUCAUGUCACUCAGGAAGACUUUGAGAUGGCAGUCGCGAAGGUAAUGAAGAAGGAAACGGAUAAAAAUAUGUUGGAAGUAGAUCAGUUAUUCCUAGCAGCUACUUAAUUCGGUCUUGUGGUUGAGCUGAAAGACAUGAAUUGCACGAUAAAACCCACUUGUAUAUUUGUGCUCGACCUCAUGAGUCACAACUUAUGUGACAGUUUUAUUGUGAUUUGUUAACUUGCUGCAAAUGUUAUAUCUGGAUACAUAACACAUGCAAUUAAACAGCUUAACUACCAUCUAAUUGUUUGUCUA
This is a long non-coding RNA of Olea europaea var. sylvestris, 609 nucleotides long. RefSeq lists it as uncharacterized. The record is from RefSeq and is a predicted model, not a curated record. The transcript has 2 exons. Lineage: Eukaryota; Viridiplantae; Streptophyta; Magnoliopsida; Lamiales; Oleaceae.